RNAcentral lists this ribosomal RNA (253 nucleotides) under uncultured bacterium. Its description in RNAcentral is "partial 16S ribosomal RNA". It matches the Rfam family "Bacterial small subunit ribosomal RNA", at positions 524 to 776 of the family's 1533-position model. The record is from RNAcentral.
UACGUAGGGGGCUAGCGUUGUCCGGAAUCAUUGGGCGUAAAGAGCGUGUAGGCGGUCCGGUAAGUCCGCUGUGAAAGUCGGGGGCUCAACCCUCGAAUGCCGGUGGAUACUGUCGGGCUAGAGUGCGGAAGAGGCGAGUGGAAUUCCAGGUGUAGCGGUGAAAUGCGUAGAUAUCUGGAGGAACACCGGUGGCGAAGGCGGCAUCCUGGACCGGCAUUGACGCUGAGGCGCGAAAGCUAGGGGAGCAAACGGG